Molecule: ribosomal RNA, 1300 nt
Filed under: Tapes dorsatus
Lineage: Eukaryota; Metazoa; Mollusca; Bivalvia; Venerida; Veneridae
Description: 16S ribosomal RNA
Rfam family: Archaeal large subunit ribosomal RNA (bases 586-1300)
Source: RNAcentral
UAACAAGUGAUUGGGGUUACGUUUAAAAGAGUUGUGGUUUUAAUAUAGUAAUGAAGAGACUUUUUAGUAAUAGUAUUGGGAAAAAUAAUUGGAUGGGUUUUGAAAAGAAUGAGUGUCAGGAGAAUAAAAUUGUUUAAUUUAAGUUCUUUUUGUAUCAUGAUCUAUAGAGAAUAAGAAUGAAUUUUUACUCCCGAAAAUUUUAGAGCUACUGUACUAUAAAGUAUUUGUUGAAAAAAAUAAUAAUAGGGUACGGUAGUGGUGACAUGUUUUGCGAAAAAGUUGAUAGCUGGUCGAAGGGAAAAUAUAUUAAAGUAUAGAGUUAAAAUUAUGAACUGACUUGGGUUUAUUUUUAAUAUUUAAAUUCUCUAGGAUAAGCUUGGGAAUGUUGUAGGCUAAAGAAAAAUAAGUAGGAUUUCUAUUGUCUAUCUUAUAAAAAGUUAGUAAUAAAGUAAUUAGGAAAAAGUGUGUUUUGGUACCUUUCUGUUGUUGUUAAUAUUUAAAUAAUUAAUUAGUAUAGAAUUAGUAGUAAUAGAGUUGCUCUUGAAUAAAGAGGUUGUUGUGAAUAAUUUCAUUUGAGAAUUUAAGUUCUUAUAAAGGUCGGGGAAUAGAUAGGAAAUACUUUCUAAAGGAACUCGACAAAUAAAACUUGUGCCUGUUUAACAAAAACAUCGCUUUUUGGUUAUUAAAAUAGAAAGUCGGGCCUGCCCAGUGAGCUAUAUUAAACGGCUGCAACGAGAGUUGUACUAAGGUAGCGCGAUAAUUUGUCUCUUAAUUGGAGAAUGGUAUGAAAGGUUUGUCGCAAGUAAAUUGUCUCUAGAAAGAAAAAUGAAGUUUCCUUUUAAAUGAAAAGGUUUAAGUACGGUUAAAAGACGAGAAGACCCUGUCGAGCUUAAUUAUUCUGGUCGCUUAAGAGUAGUUUUCAAGCUUUUAGAAGAAUGGUAGUUGGGGAGAGCUGGGCUCUAUAUAAUGAGCCCUUUUUAAAACGAAGAUCCUUUUUGAGAGAUAAUAGGCAAAAGCUACCGCAGGGAUAACAGCGUAAUCUUUCUUGAAAGAUCCUAUUGAGGGAAAGGUUUGCGACCUCGAUGUUGGAUUAGAAUAACUGUUUGGUGCAGCAGCUAAAAGAAGUGAGACUGUUCGUCUCUAAAAUUUCUACAUGAUCUGAGUUAAGACCGGCGUGAGCUAGGUCGGUUUCUAUCUUUAGUGGAUACACCUAUUGUACGAAAGGAUCCAGGUGUAAGAUAAGCAUCUUGUUGGUUAAUUAUAUUAGCUUAUCAUAUAGUUAAGUUUAUAAAUAAAGUUG